GGCAACCCGCUGGGGUCCCCUUCACCACUGUGGAAGCUUUGUUCUUUUGCUCUUUGCAAUAAAUCUUGCUACUGCUCACUCUUUGGGUCCACGCUGCUUUUAUGAACUGUAACACUCACCGCGAAGAUCUGCAGCUUCACUCCUGAGCCCAGUGAGACCACGAGCCCACCAGGAGGAACGAACGACUCCAGACGCGCCACCUUAAGAGCUGUAACACUCACCGCGAAGGUCUGCAGCUUCACUCCUGAGCCAGCGAGACCACGAACCCACCAGAAGGAAGAAACUCCGAACACAUCUGAACAUCAGAAGGGACAGACUCCAGGCGCGCCACCUUAAGAGCUGUUAACACUCACCGCGAGGGUCCGCGGCUUCAUUCCUGAAAUCAGUGAGACCAAGAACCCACCAAUUCCGGACACAUUCCCUUCACACCUCCCUCUGGUGUCUGAAAACCCAAGAACAUUCAUUUCCUUACGGAGAGACUCAACAAUCCUUCAUUGGGAUGGGAGAGGGGGCUCGCAUCCAUCCACUGUCCCCUUCACUGUGAAUGAAUUGGUUGGUUUGCAUUCGCUCACAUCUGUAGAACUGGAGGGAACAGGACACAGAAAAGAGUAGGCCAGAGGAACAACUGCCCAGGAGUCAGGGGCAAGAGGAGAACUGUUUCCCCCCAGGGGUGUCUCACCUGGGUCAGAAUCACUCAUGAUGGCCUCAGGGACCAGGAAGUUAUGAGCAGAGAUCCUUGGUGAGGUCUACACACCACAGUUUUGCCUGAAGACGAUCCUUAUUUUAGAGAGCCAAUUUAAAGUAGGAGGAAAGCAAAAGUAAUGUUACUGAAUUGGUGGCAGAGAGGAGGAGGCAUCACCCCACGGAACUUGAAUGCCAACAGCUCUUCAUCGAUUCACAUUAAAGAAAAUUAGAAGGAGGAGGAGGAGAAAAGAAAGCCCUGUCACCAAGUUUAUUAUUCCCAGGGUGGUCAGCUUUCUAUUUAAGGGAAUAUGCCCAAAUUUCAGAACUGGUUUAGUUUAUGAUCUGAAAAACAUAGGCAAUUAUUCACUUGCCUCUUACAUAUUUGUGUGUCUGGCUGUGACUUUCAAUGGAGGGCAAUAAAAAGGAAUCAUUAAGAAGCCUAGUCUAGAUGAUGUGUUUUCUCUCUCUGAAGAAGAAGAGAGAUGGCUUUUGCCUAAGUACCCCAAAUUAAAUACAUAAGCUUUCUACAUGGAAGCCUAAAUAGCUUAUUGAAUUAAAAAAGAAAUCUUAGAGCUUUACAGUAAAAACACUCUUUUUCCCAUUUCUGGAAAAAUUAUGUUAGUAAAAAUUAUUUGGCCAUAAUCUCUCAGACUGUGCAAUUUUAAUGUAGUGAAUAGAAAAUUAAAUACAAUUUUCCACUGCAACUGGCUUUGACACUGAAUAAGACAUGUCACCAUAUGUACUGAAGACUCCUCCAUAUAUGUAUUAAAGUUUUUAUUUAUCUGUU
Homo sapiens (human) is the source of this 1471-nucleotide long non-coding RNA. RefSeq lists it as uncharacterized. The transcript is spliced from 2 exons. NCBI's taxonomy places the organism in Eukaryota, Metazoa, Chordata, Mammalia, Primates, Hominidae. The record is from RefSeq and is a predicted model, not a curated record.